RNAcentral lists this long non-coding RNA (5021 nucleotides) under Homo sapiens (human). RNAcentral describes it as "HSALNT0225109". The record is from RNAcentral. Lineage: Eukaryota; Metazoa; Chordata; Mammalia; Primates; Hominidae.
CCCUAGAAAAUACUUUCACUAUUUGUCCUUGAAUUAAGCAAUGAAGAAGACAACUUUCUACACUUAGAGUAAAUGCAAACAAUUACUUUUCUGGGUCCUCACUGAUUUUUCCAUUUAUCUGCUUCACCUCUCCUCUCUUUCCUUUCUGUUUUCUUCUCUCUCUUUCUCUCUUUCCUUUUCUUUCCCUUUAAUUCUGGCCCCAAAGUAUGGGCUUGGCCAGAGGAAAUACUCAGAAUGAAGGAUUGCAUCUUCCGACCAGAAGCAGGUGCUGAGGAUGGAUAUGACAUCAAAACAGAAGGGUUGAUAGGGAGGAUCAUUAACCAUCAGAGAAAUUGCUAACUGCCCUGGAACACAGCACAUUCUUGGGUGAAAAGUCACUUGAAUGCCUGUUGGAGCCAUCACUAUGGAUUGCCGGCUAUUCUGACUUGGAGUUUGAGGCUGACAUCUGAAACCACAGGUGAGGACUCUGACACAUCCAGAUUUUGUAAGUUGCAUAGAAUGAAUUUCACAGGACGCAUCCAAUUCAUGGACUCUUACAAGUUUGUAUCAACACCUACAGCUCUGACCUCUGGGAAUGAAGAAGAUACUUAACAAUAGUUUUGAUGGACUAGAAAAUCAACAGAGAUAAUAUCCAUAUUCGUAUUGGUAGCCCCAUUGUAUUUAGAUAGUGUGAGCCAGCAGUGUUCACUUCCACCCAAUUCAGGGACUUCCUCUAGCAAGGUAUUGCAGUUUGGAAGUGGGAACAGAAGAGACUGUGCAAUCUUCACAGGAGAACAUUGUCAUGACAAAGAGGACAAACAAGUUCAAGGCAAAAAACUAAACCAUAACCUUGGGAUUCAAGGAAAAAGUCAUCAAGCACAGAGCUCCCGCCAUUUCUGUUCUUUGGCAACCCUGAAAAAGCUGAAAGAGGCUGAUCAUCGCUAAUGUAUUGAACAUCUUUUGAAGCCCCAAUGACUGCCACCAACAAAGAACAGACACAUGUGCUAUCUGGGUGAGCACUUCCUCCUGACUCCUUAACAAAACCCUCCCUGAAAGGUUGAUAAGCAAACAGGCUUCACAACAGAAGGGCAGCUCAUUCCCCAGAGGGACUGACGGAAGCCAUAUUCCCAACACAGGAAAAGAAAGCAGGACAUGGGUGAUUCUGAGAAAGGUGCAGCCUUCCAGGGCAGACAGGAAGCACUGACAUAUGGCAACUGAAUCAAAGGGGAUCAUGAAGUCUCUGUUCAAUCGUUUGAGUCACGAAGUCUCCAAUCCUUCAGCAACAUGGUACUUUGAGCAUGACUUCAGCAAAACCAAGGUUAUAGGUGAUGGUUAUGAUGAUGAAUAAAAGAGCAGUGCAGAGUGAAAAUGAAGAAUAAAUUUGACUUUGAUUUUAGUUCAGGGGUGUAGAUGGAUAUUUUGCCCAGGAUUUGCAACUUGGAUUUUGGGAGAUUGCUUUCCAUGAGGAUUUUGAAUCCUUAUAGAUAAUAUAUUAAUUUAGAGUAGAAUAGAGAUGAAUUCAAAUGAAGAGUGAGAGAAGUUGUAUUUCGAGGAAUAAGAAAGCAGGUAUAAAAACAUUCAGUGAACUUUUAAAUCAUGCUAUAGACAAUCAUCAUAAUGAUGCUACUUAGGAAAGUCAGAGUCACGAAGCUCUGGAUAUAGUUUUUCUGUACUCUGUUGCAAAGGGAAUUCUUUGGUAGAGAAAAUAGAUGGAAGCCUGUCAGUCGCAGAGAAGAAAGUGGAAUGCAGGAGAGUGGGUUCCUAGAGGGAUGUUGCUUUCAAUCUACUUCCCUGCUGCAGUUUCUAGCCAGCACAUGGUAACCACCUCUCUCUUCUGCCACCUUCUGAAGUUACUCAGAUAAAUCUCUGUUCCUUUGACCCAAAAGAAGUGCCCCCCACCAGCCACCUCUGUCCCAUUACAUGGCCCAUUAUGCUUACCUUAUCUCAAAGAUACACUCGAGUUAUUGGAAAUUUCCCAUAAAGAUUCCCACACUCCUGAAAGCGGAAAGAACACAGCAGGAAAAGACGAACUAGGAUGUGUGUUAGUGUAUGUAAUUAUAUUGAGGUUAGAAAUGGAAAACACACCUGAUGCUCUGCGUUAUUAUUUUAAAAACAGCAAUAAGAACAAACUGGAAGCUCAGAAUGAUGCCCUGGAGAGAAUUAUUCUUUUUCUGACAUUUAUUUAGAUUCCCCUUUGAGAAAUAGCUUUAUUUUCAGUGAUUUCUUGGGUGAGUAAAAUAACAUUUCACUCAAGAGUUAAAAGGGGUCAGUUUGGGUCUUGUCAGGGGUGCUUUGGAACUUUCUUGCUGACCUGGAAUUAGUGCACGUGCAUCUGAGUGCUACUCCAGCCACCCAGCACACCAUAAAAUAUGUUUUCCGCUACAGUGAUAUUGCUGGCAGUGCAUAAAACAAAUGGACUGGGUCAGAAAUAGUCAGACUCCACCUUUAAAUGGAUUCUUCUGGAUGUAUGUUACUUUGGAGAGCACUUUUGAAACAUUCUUCUAUUAAGGUUUUCAUUAUGAUUUUAACUCCUGUCUACAGAAGCUAUUCAUUAAUUCAAUUAGUCCUUAUUGCCAACGUAGAGGGUGAGUUCUAUAUUGUAAGCCCCAAUGCACAGAUGCAGAAACCGAGGUUCAGAAGCUUUGACAUCUUGCCCCAGGUCUCUUAGAUGUUAGUAGCUAAUCUGGGAUGCAAACCAGAUGCCUGAAUCAAGUCUUUGUUCUCUUCAUUCUGCUGCACUGGUUCGUCUGACUUGAAAUUGCAUCAGUUAGGGUUUGGGUUCAGCUGCAUACAAAAAAAUCCGAGUGGCUGCCAGUUAGACUAAACAGAGAUUUAUUUUUCUUCCAUAUAACAAUAAAUUCAGACAUAAACAGUCUGAAGCUGGUGGAAAGAAAAUGCUUUCUGGUUUCCCAGUGUGAUUAGGCACAUGAAGGCAGUUGCAAUUCCAGCCCUCAUGACUGUAAUCCAGACUGCAGAAAGGAGUUAGAAACAAGAAAAUCACGUGGCACUUACAUCAGGAAAGCACAGUAUUUUUCAGAAAUACACAGAAAUAACCAGAAAUGUGUCUCACAUGAUCAUUGCUGGUCAUCUAAUCUCCCUAGAAAAGUAAUUUUUAUCUUAUAACAUUGCUGCCCCAACAAAAUAGAGAUUCCCUCAGUAAAAAGGAAUGAAGGAAUGGAUUUUCUGUUAGUACCCAGAGAAGUAUCUGUCUCCAAAAAUAUCUAUCUUUCCACUUCAAAAAUAAUCAAAUGUUUUCUUAGGGCAUUUUUGUCCCAAAGCCUAUUCCCACCCCUUGUUUUAUGUUCCUCAAUUUAGAGCAUGAACACUUGCUGGCUGACCCAUGGUCCCUUUGGCUGAAUGUCAGCCAGCUGUAAAAGGACUAUGUAUAUGAAGACCACACCAGCUAGAAGCUUAACUCAAGGUUUCAUUGUUUUAAAGGACUUAAUAUUCUUCUAGUUUAUGCAGAAUCUCACUGGGUAAAGUUGCAGAAAAAAAUUCUAGAAUAGAAGAGAACAGUUUGGAAUAUGUAAUUCAACUAUUUCUAAGUAAUAGAGAAAGGCAACAAAAAUGUCAAUAUUACAGGCAUCAAAUACUUUAGCUAAUCAGGUAAUGUUAUUGAGUUGGAAGCUGACCCUAUCACCAUAGGUAUCUGUUUUCCUAAGUUACUCAUCUUAACCGCUGAUUCACACUGUUCACCCUCCCACUCGGCAGUGGAAGUUAAAUGGCUUGUGAUUCACAAUCUCAGCCUUAGAGAAGAGAUUUGUAAUAACAGAUGUUUAUAAUGUGCCUCUAGUUUCCCUUGGCCUUCUCUUCCUCCUCACUAAAUCCCUCAUUCUAGACCAUGGAAUUUUACAAGGGACUUGAUGUCCUUGGGUCUUGCUGAGACAGAAGAUAUUCACAAAGGCUUGGACGAAAAGCUCCUCAGCCAUCAAAUUGGCUAAUUCAUUCCAGAUUAUGCUGAAUGUAAGCUCUCCAGACGAAGAAACCAUCAUCUAACACAGGGGUGAGGUGGGGCACGGUGACGGGAGGAUCAGAUGAAGAGGAGUCAGCAGUAAUAACGGAAAAGGAAGGCCCAGGGUGAUUGGAGAAAAGCCAGGACAGUGUGAGGACUCUAAGCCCAGCAUUAGAACUUCAAGAAGAAUGGAGAGGUCAACAAUGUCAAAUUCUCCAACAUCUGAGGAAGAGAGCAAGAUGAAAGCAUUGGGUUUAGAAAUGUGAAUGUAAUUGAUGAGCUUGCUAAGGUAGUUUCAGAGGGACGAUAGUGAAAAAACAAAAAGAUAAAGCCUGUGCUCGGUAAAAAUUUAGAGAAAAGGAAAAUUUAAAGUAGGGACUUCGGUGGCUGACUGGUCAUUUUUUGAAAGGCCUCUCGGUGAGGGGAAGGAGAAAGAGAUAAUUGGAGCCAGAGGGACGUGCAAGGUUGGUGGCAUUUGUUAUUAAGACCACAUCAGCUAGAGGCUUAAACCCAAGGUUUCAUUGUUGGGUUUCAUAGUAUGGUAAAAUCUUGGGUGUGGUUUUAGUCUAUGGGAAAGUAGUCAAUUAAGACUAGGAAUAGAAAUGUGUUUACAAGCAAAUGGAACAGGAGCUGAAGGAGAUGACACCCUGAAUUAAAAUUUAAUUAAUAUCACAGAGAAUGCUUUUCUAUCAUGGUUUCAUUAAACACAGAGCCUUCACUUCUAAAUAUUCAAAUACACAUAUAUACAUACACAUACACACACACCUUUAUACAAACUUUAAGUGUGUGGAGUGUUAGAAACCUCACUGUGUAAAAACUGAAACUAUAACAUGGGAAAUGAAGAAAGGUGAUUAUUUAGAUGAGAACACAUAUAAUAAUAAAAGUAACACAUUUUACGGUUUCUUUAAAUGUUUAUUCAUCCCUCUACACAAUUAAAUAGCAUGUGUUUUAGACAUUUUUAUUAUUUUCCAUUUUCCAGCUGUACAUACCAUGAGAGAUAUAGGUUCUAUAACUAUUUGGAGCUAUACAAAUAGAAAGAGGAAUAAGAAAAUGUUAUGUCCUCUCUCCUCUUUAAAAAAAAAAUUCUGUU